GGUGAGUAACACGUGAGUAACCUGCCCUUGACUUUGGGAUAACUUCAGGAAACUGGGGCUAAUACCGGAUAGGAGCUCCUGCUGCAUGGUGGGGGUUGGAAAGUUUCGGCGGUUGGGGAUGGACUCGCGGCUUAUCAGCUUGUUGGUGGGGUAGUGGCUUACCAAGGCUUUGACGGGUAGCCGGCCUGAGAGGGUGACCGGCCACAUUGGGACUGAGAUACGGCCCAG
This 228-nucleotide ribosomal RNA is filed under the name uncultured Actinomycetales bacterium. RNAcentral describes it as "partial 16S ribosomal RNA". It matches the Rfam family "Bacterial small subunit ribosomal RNA", at positions 105 to 334 of the family's 1533-position model. Lineage: Bacteria; Bacillati; Actinomycetota; Actinomycetes; Actinomycetales. The record is from RNAcentral.